This 1347-nucleotide unclassified non-coding RNA is filed under the name uncultured Neocallimastigales. RNAcentral describes it as "partial contains small subunit ribosomal RNA, internal transcribed spacer 1, 5.8S ribosomal RNA, internal transcribed spacer 2, and large subunit ribosomal RNA". The stretch from base 600 to 1347 matches the Rfam family "Eukaryotic large subunit ribosomal RNA", at positions 1 to 610 of the family's 3401-position model. Lineage: Eukaryota; Fungi; Neocallimastigomycota; Neocallimastigomycetes; Neocallimastigales. The record is from RNAcentral.
UUUCCGUAGGUGAACCUGCGGAAGGAUCAUUAAAAAUAAUCACAGUUUUGUGAUUUUAAUAAUCAUCCUACCCUUUGUGAAUUUGUUUGUAAAGAAAUUUAUGUUGUCUAUCCCUGUGGUUUUUGGAAAAGUUGAAAAACUUUUCGAAUCCUCAGGACUAGGCUUCAUAGACCUUUUUUUAAAUUAAACUUUUUGUAUUCAUUUGUCUAAAAUCUAUUUUUAAUAAUUUAAAAACAACUUUUGACAAUGGAUCUCUUGGUUCUCGCAACGAUGAAGAACGCAGCAAAAUGCGAUAAGUAAUGUGAAUUGCAGAAUACGUGAAUCAUCAAAUCUUCGAACGCAUAUUGCACUUUUCUAGUUUACUAGAAAAGUAUGUCUGUUUGAGUAUCAGUAAAUAUUCUCAUAAAAACAUUGUUUUUAUGGUUAUGAGUGUUUUACACGAUAAACAAGUUGUUUCACUUUAAAUUGAUUUUUAAAAGCCAAUUUGGUUUUAUCUAAUAAAUUGGAUAAAAUUUCCCGUAAAAAGGAAUAAACUUUUCAGUUUUAAAAGAUAAAACUUUUAAUUGAGCCUAAUUAAAAGGAAAUUUAACUAAAUAACUUGAUCUCAAAUCAGAUAAGAGUACCCGCUGAACUUAAGCAUAUCAAUAAGCGGAGGAAAAGAAACUAACAAGGAUUCCCUUAGUAACGGCGAGUGAAGCGGGAAGAGCUCAAAUUUGAAAUCUUCAAGGUUCUACCUUGACGAAUUGUAGUUAUAGAAGUGUUUUCUGUUAGUGGAGUGGCAAAAGUUCUUUGGAAUAGGACAUCAUAGAGGGUGAGAAUCCGUAUUUGGUCAUUCCUCCUAGCGUUGCGAUACACUUUCAACGAGUCGGAUUGUUUGGGAAUGCAGUCCAAAAUGGGUGGUAAAUUUCAUCUAAAGCUAAAUAUUGGCGAGAGACCGAUAGCGAACAAGUACCGUGAGGGAAAGAUGAAAAGAACUUUGAAAAGAGAGUUAAACAGUACGUGAAAUUGUCAAAAGGGAAGCGUUUGACACCAGUGUUGUUUUUCCGAAAUCAAUUACGAAUGUUUGUUUUAAGAGUUAUGACUUCAUCGGCUUGCUCUUUCUUUACGAAACUUUCUUAAUGCACUUUUCGGUUAACAAGUCAACAUCAAUUUCUUUGUUGUAAAAGGGUAUGAGGAAGGUGGCUUUCUUUUCGGAGAAAGUGUUUAUAGCCUUGUGCCUCUGCAAUCGGAGAGAUUGAGGUCUGCAGCGUAGAUCCUUCGGGUUAGAUACGUUUGUGCUAAGUUAUAGCUUUUAUAGACAACUUGUUGACUAUGUUUAGUCUUGUAGCUUACUCGCUGACGCUAUUU